This 6806-nucleotide long non-coding RNA is filed under the name Brassica napus (rape). RNAcentral describes it as "long non-coding RNA (BNAP_LNC026537)". Lineage: Eukaryota; Viridiplantae; Streptophyta; Magnoliopsida; Brassicales; Brassicaceae. The record is from RNAcentral.
UAGCUGUUAGCCCUCCUCUGGUACAUGAUUCAUUGGUCGUCGAGCCCCAUCACCACCAUUCUUUUUUAUAAAUUAAUAAUUGAGUGCCACCUAUGCAUUGGGGCCUCUUUUAAUUAAUACAAAAUUGAGGUUACAUCUUUUCAAAUGUUCCUCAAUUAAUAUAUAAGGGAUGUGAUUGGAAACACUUUAACAAGAUUAAAAUAUAUUUAAAAAAUACGGAAGAAAAAAUUUUAGAGUAAAUAAUAGUAAACUGAAUAAAUAAAAUAUUUUCUAUACUGAAUUAUUUUACUGUCGCUUUAGCUUUAAAUAAGAGAGUAAGAAGUUAACAUUUAAACCAGAAAUAUAAAACUAUAUAACAUUUUUUAUGUGAUGGUGAAAAGAGUAACUGAAAAUAAAACAUUAUUUCUCAACCCCAACAAAAACAAUUACAUCGUUAUGUAUUAUAGAUUUAUAACGUAUAUAUACUUAAGUAUAUAUAUAUAUAUAUAUAUAUAUUGGGAAACGACAUUUGGAGAUGUGAAUGUGAAGUUCACAUGGGUAUAGUUUGUUUCAGAUUUCUGCGUAGAUUCCAUGAACUGGCAAAAUAAUCAGUUACAGGAAAUAAAAUAAAAUAAAAUAUAAUUUGUAAUGUUGGAUUUUUCCAUAUGUGUUCUAUUAAAUGAAUAAUGUUUUUUAUAUUUAAUGUUCUUACUAAAACAAUUUAUAGCAUUUCCUCUCUAAACAAACGUGACCUGCACAGUAGUAAUGACCAAGUAAAAUUACUCGUCUCCUUUUUUUUUUGAACUACCAAAUUACUCGUCUCCUUUAACUUUUAUUUUUAAGCCUUUUUGAAAACGGUUGAUAAAAAGUUUUUUUUUUAUAACAGUUUAAAUUGUGUUAAUUAAUGAUACUUUUAACAUCAUUGUAUGAUACUUUCCUAUUGUAUUACUUUUGAGUGGUGUAUUAGUAAUUUCAUUUUGGUUAGUUUCAAUUGUUUGUAAAUGGAAGUGGCACAUGACAUGGAGGUAGAGCGUGCCGUUCACCCUCCGGAACGACGGUGGUCAAGUAAAGGUGCUCACUUUCAUGCUUAGACGACACGUACGCAAUUUCCAGACUGUCUAUAGUUAUCUUUUAUUGACGCGACAUCUUCUUCGUGGGCAACACGCGCUUCCGUCUUCUGUUUUAUUUAUAUUUAGUUAUUAAUCAAUUUGUCCUCCCAAAAUAUAUAGUUACUUAUCCAAAGCCUAAAGGUGACUUUGCUUUUGAUUUCGUAGCUAUUAGCUAAUUAACUCUUAAACUUUCCUAAUAGUAUAAUCAUAAAUAUAUAAAAUUAAUGUAUAUUUUUCUUAUAACAUCAUUUUGGCCUUGUAAUAUGUCAAUGAUUAGAUUCUUAUGUCUUGAAUUCAACAUGUUGUCUUUUUAAUAAGAACUAAAAUUUUAUAAUAUUCUUUUAAAAUAAGAAACCUUAAUUUUUGUAAUUUUUUGCUUUUGAUUUACCAAAUGUCUAAAAUAAUUCAAAAUUUACACCACAGCGAAAAUACAUUGGAUAAGCUGAGAAAUAAGAAUGAAUAUCUUUUGUUUGCACAUAAUGAAUAGGAAUUUUGUACUAGAUAGCAAAAUUGUAGACGUAAAUUAGGUAACAGGUAAAGUGACUGUGCAUUUUGCAGUAAUACCUAAAAUGUCUCUAUAAACAUAACAAAAUUAAAUAGAACGACCACUGACACGUAUGAAGCAAAAGAAUGACGAGACUGUUGUACAUAUCGAAAGUAUCAAUAAUGCAAACAAUCUUGAAACUUCUGAUAAUGCAAAGAAUCGGAAAUUCACUUAUGUAGAUAUGCACCCUACUGUCAUAUAUCCGGUUAAUAAUAGUAAAACCCGGAUUAGAUAAAUGUAAUCAUGCUAUAAUUGCAGCCUAUUGACACAUAUACGCGUAUCUCUAGCUCUUGCCUUCUUUAAUAAGAUACUUCUAACAUUUAAGCUCCGUUAUUUGACAGGGAACCGACACCAUCUCCCAACAUGGAUAGUAUUUUGAUUGAUAUAUCAAGAUGAACAGGAUGUCAUGGUCCUAUGGCGUCGAGCACUGCUCAUAUCACUUUCAGCGCAUGAAACAACAUGUUGUAAAAUAUCUUCCUAUCAAUUACAUUUCUGACAAACAAUUUGUAAAAUAUCUCACAACUCUUCUCUCUUCAAUUAUUAGAGCUAUAUCCGAUUUCAAUAUCUUAUAUCAUCAUUUUAAAUGAAUGUAUCUGGUUUCGAAACGUUGAUUGCGUUUGGAAACAGUUGCAAUACAAUAUAAUUUUUUUAGCAUCAGCUCCGGUAGCAGAUAACACAUAUGUAACGAAGAAAUUGUGGCUAGAAGAGAGAAUUGACAACUCAGGGCAAAAUUAACAUAGUUCCCCAAUUAUUUAAAAAAAAUCAAUACUUCUAUAAUUACCUCCUCCAAUUUGCGUAUUUCUAGCUAAAUAGGCCUAAUGAAUAAUCCUAAUUCUGGUAUUCAUGCAAUUUAGGUGCCCCUACCAACUAUGAGUGCCUUCCUGCCACCUCAUAUCGAUUGAUGGGCAAUUCACAUAUAUGUUUGUACAAUUACAUUUUUGGUAACUCUAUUUUAUUAAGUUAUUUAUAUAUGUUCUGCAAGAAUAAUUUGUUAUGACAGAUGAUUUGAUACCACAUUCAUUUUCUGUCUUCCACCACCAGAAGAAAAAUCAAAGGGCGAACUUGAUUGCAAAUUAUACACAGUCAAAUCUCACCACAUUACAUAACACUAGUAUUACAGAAAAAAAACACAACCCUUGAUAAGAAGAUUUCACAAAUUUAAGCAUUUCCAUUCGAAAAGAAAAUGUAUACAUACUAUUAUUCAUCGGGCGUUUACAUUUGCGAGAAUAUAUUUACGUUUUCGGGGGAAAAAAUCCAUAUAUAGACGAACCUUCAAAAUCAUGUGAGAAUAAUUAGUUUUAUUAAUGUAAUAAUGCACUGAUUGUCGAAUCAGAAUGAAGGAAUUUUAAUUUAUAACUUGUUAUUUCCAGUCACUAAUAAUAUCAUCUUAUCUUAAAAAUUAAAGAAUCGUGUUUACGCAUUAAACAUAGGUAUAUAGCGUAACCACCACUUUUCUGUCUGUUGUUGUACGUACAUUUUGAUUACUACUCUUCCGUUGAAUAUAGUUCUAUAAAAGUUCAAAAUAUAGCAACUAUAAUGUAGUGUUCAAGUAGAAUAGCGUAGUAAAAAAAAAAAAAUUGUUUUGAGAAAUGAAAAUGCAUCUGGCUAUAUAUCCGCUCGGUAACGUUAUGCAAAAAAAUAUAUGUUGUCAUCAGUUCUUCUAAUUAUCGUUUAGUUAGAACCUAAGGUGUGUAAGAAAUGGAAGAUGAUAGUGAUAGAUAAAUCACAUGUAUCCGAAUCAAAAAUAUAAUUAAUACGUAGUUGGCAAAGAACUAAAAAAAACUAUUACAGAACGUAUACUAUGAUUUAAUAGUGUGAUUCACAAAGAUUUGGUGGUCGAUGUGCACAUAAAAAACUUAAAUGUAAAUUAUGUUUAUGCCACCGUGUAAGUUGUAACAUAUAACUAAACGUCUAAUUAAUCAGAGUAUAGGCCCACUCAGUGAGUAAUUGAUUUGUAUCAUUUUACUUUACUUUUAUUCAUUAUACUUCUAUGUUUUUACUGUUUUUCAUUUUACUUACUCAUUCCUUUAUUAAUAAGCGAUGUGAAACCAUAAUUUUCUAAGGAAUUACAUAAACGUAAAUAUAUAUUCUCUCCGUUUCAUAUUGUAAGUAGUUUUAGAAAAAAAAAUUAUUUUAAAAUGUAAGUACUUUUAAUAUUUCUAGAUAAUUUUUACAUUAUAACCAAUCAAAUUAAAUAAAUUUAUUUUUGAUUGGUUAAGUUAUAUCUAACCUAUUUAUUAUAUCAUAUUUUUAAAAAUAUAAUAUCUUUUUAAUCUUUGUGCUUUUAACCAAACAGCUUACAUUAUAAAAGAGUACAUUUUUUUAUCAAAUUUUUUUUUGAUCAAAUCAUAAAAAUAUAUGUUUAACCGUUUAAUGUUGUCUUAAAAGAUUGGAAUAUAAUUUAGGUGAUCCUCCUGAUCAUAAUUAUAUAAUUAAUAAUAUUAUGAGUAAAUUUCACAAUGGAAAGUAUUAACAAAAAUGUGAACCAAAUAAAAAUAGCAAGAAAGUGACGUAACAUCACAUUAUAACAUGUAACCAUCAAAGUUAGAAAGGAUAGAGAUCAAAAAUAAAAAAGGACGAACAAAAGAAAAAGGAAUCCGUAAAAACGGCCGUCAACGGAAGCAGACUCAGGGCCUACGGGUUAGAUCUUAGUAAAUAGGACACGUGUAUGAAUCACAUGGAUAGUAGGGACCACAAAUUCGAACGGCGUACAUUUACUGAAAGCAAUACCCUUCGAUGGAUUAUGGGUCCACUACACGUGGAGCCAUCACGUGCUGUCAGUUCGUGUUUCCCGAAGGGUACGAAUAUUUAUUUAAUAAAUUCUAUUUUUAACAUCUGAUAUUGAAGCAGGCCGUUAAUGACGGCGUUAAGCAAUGACUUAGACACUGACGGACGUGGCCGUUAUGCUUAAAACCGGGUUUCCUCGUCGCUCAAUGUGUAGUUAAAAUUGUCAAUUGCUCGAGCGAUAAUAGUGAAAAUUUACUUUAUUUAAUUACCACGGAAAUAAUUUGCAUUACUAGCAAAACGUGAUUUAAAGGCGGUUCAAAUUAGUAAUGGUUCAAACUACCAUUGUUUUUAACCCGGGAAUACCCGAGUCAUAUGGAACUAAUUGCAAGUAGUUAUAAAAUUAGAGGCUCCCUAUUUAUAUUAUUGAACCUUUAGACAAAAUGUUAUGGAUUACAUAUGUUUAUGUGUAUUUAUAUAUUAUACAGUUUUUUGUUAUCUUCCUAAGUUCACAAUGCUAGUUAUAUUAUGUUUAGUCUUUGACAGUAAAAGUAGAUUAGCAUGUUCACUAAACUAAAAUAGGUCUAACUAGACCUUUUCAUGUUCGAUAAAGAAAAAAGAUCCAAGAUGAUGAUUUUAUUCAAAACCUAAUUAGUUUUGUCGAAUCUUUAACGGGAGGAUCCGUGAGUGAUCGCUAUUUUAUUUGUACACAUCUCGAAAAUUAGAGAAUAUAUAUAGGCCUAAUUCUUAAAUAACUAAAACGACUCGAAAAUUAAAACGCAUGGGUCCGAUGAUUUUUCAAAACCCAAUUGCAGAAUAUUUCCAUCGAUUCAUUAAGUUAGAUAAUCUUUUAAAAAUAUGUUCAUAGACUUUUUUAUUUUCUAUGAAAAUACUGUGAUCUUAAAAAAAUCAAUUGACUUUAUUGAAUUACCAUAUGUUAAAAAUUAUUAAAAACUAAAAAUUACAGAAAAUAAUAUAUUUAUUAUAGUGAUUUAACGUGUUUUUUUUAAUAUGUGUGAAAACACUAAAAAUUACUUCCUUCGUUUUUCAAUAUAAGUCGUUUUAGAAAAACUUUUUUGUUUCAAAUUAUAUGUCAUUUUUAGCUUUCUAUGUAACAUUUAUUAAUAAUUAAUGUUGUCUGACCAAUGAUAAUAUAUCUUUUAUUUUUCUAUUGGUUGAAUUGUGGUUAGGUAAAUAAUUAGUGAUGUUUUUGUUUUGAAAAUCUAAAAAUUAAUAAUUUUUUUAAUCUAUGUGCAUAGCUUUUAAAACGACUUAUAUUAAAAAACGGAGGGAGUAUUGUAAUAUGGUUUAUACUGAAUUUAUAUAUAUUGGAUAUAUACAUUAUAAUUUAUUGAAUUUAUACAUAUUGUGGGAAUUACUGUUGUUGUAACCAAAAACUACUUUUAUUUUUCUGAUUGUACGCAUUUUUAGAUUGAUGUUUUCGAUGGCCUGUGUUAAUAAAUUUGCUGGAAAGUUAAUAAGGAAAUCAGACUGUGAAAUUAUUUUACUUAACUCAAACCCCGAGACAUGGUUGGUUGAAUUAUUAUACAAUUGAACCUGGGACCUAAAACAGUAUCAUGAACUGAGUUCAGCUUUUAAGUCAAUUUUAAUUAUACACUGGAAAAGCAUCUUCAGUUCUCCAUCAAAAGAAUCAACCAAAAAAGACCCCAAAAUCUGUAGUAUUUUAAAGAUUUGACAAAAGGUUAAUGAUUCUCAUUCUUCUUGGUACAAUUUUUCAACAUUUAAACAAAGUAUUACAAAACCCAAAAUAUAAUAAAAAUGUCGGUUUAAGAUAACAUUGUAGUAGAUCCACGACUUUUUACUAAUCGGUCAAAAUAUUAUGACAUACGAGCUACCACUGACAGCAACAAUGAAAGUAAACAAUCUCUUCAAAAUUUAAUUCAUUUUAAUUGUAACACCGUUUGUGUUUAUUUUACCUUAACUAUGUUGCAGUUAUUGUACAACUAUAAAAUGAUUUAAUAUUGUAUAUAUUCUCAGCCUUAUCGCUUUCGAGGUGUAGCUGUUAGCCCUCCUCUGGUACAUGAUUCAUUGGUCGUCGAGCCCCAUCACCACCAUUCUUUUUUAGUAUAAAUUAAUUUUCAUUUUCUCUGGUAAAUAAAAUUCAUCAUUUAUUUUUAGUAUUCGUAUAAUCAUCAUUGAAGUUGUAGCAGAAGUGAAAAACAAAGCAAUCCCCGAUUGCUUAAGAUUCCUCACCUAGUCACAUGCUCCUCUUCUUCCUCACCCAAAAAAGAAAGCAAACCCUAGAUCCAAGAUCAGAGCCCAAACUCAGACCAAACUCACCUAGUCACAUGCUCCUCUUCUUCCUCACCCAAAAAAGAAAGCAACCCCUAGAUCCAAGAUCAGAGCCCAAAAUCAGACCAAACCAGAGUUAAACUAUCGAACUAAAUCAGAGACAUGAAGAGAGAUCUCCAUCAGUUUCAAGGUCCUCC